GAUGAACGCUGGCGGCGUGCCUAAUACAUGCAAGUCGAGCGAACGGACGAGAAGCUUGCUUCUCUGAUGUUAGCGGUGGACGGGUGAGUGACACGUGGAUAACCUACCUAUAAGACUGGGAUAACUUCGGGAAACCGGAGCUAAUACCGGAUAAUAUUUUGAACCGCAUGGUUCAAAAGUGAAAGACGGUCUUGCUGUCACUUAUAGAUGGAUCCGCGCUGCAUUAGCUAGUUGGUAAGGUAACGGCUUACCAAGGCAACGAUGCAUAGCCGACCUGAGAGGGUGAUCGGCCACACUGGAACUGAGACACGGUCCAGACUCCUACGGGAGGCAGCAGUAGGGAAUCUUCCGCAAUGGGCGAAAGCCUGACGGAGCAACGCCGCGUGAGUGAUGAAGGUCUUCGGAUCGUAAAACUCUGUUAUUAGGGAAGAACAUAUGUGUAAGUAACUGUGCACAUCUUGACGGUACCUAAUCAGAAAGCCACGGCUAACUACGUG
Molecule: ribosomal RNA, 497 nt
Filed under: uncultured bacterium
Lineage: Bacteria
Description: partial 16S ribosomal RNA
Rfam family: Bacterial small subunit ribosomal RNA
Source: RNAcentral